Molecule: ribosomal RNA, 492 nt
Filed under: uncultured bacterium
Lineage: Bacteria
Description: partial 16S ribosomal RNA
Rfam family: Bacterial small subunit ribosomal RNA
Source: RNAcentral
AGUGAACGCUGGCGGUAUGCCUAACACAUGCAAGUCGAACGGCAGCACAGUAAGAGCUUGCUCUUACGGGUGGCGAGUGGCGGACGGGUGAGGAAUACAUCGGAAUCUACUUUUUCGUGGGGGAUAACGUAGGGAAACUUACGCUAAUACCGCAUACGACCUACGGGUGAAAGCAGGGGAUCUUCGGACCUUGCGCGAUUGAAUGAGCCGAUGUCGGAUUAGCUAGUUGGCGGGGUAAAGGCCCACCAAGGCGACGAUCCGUAGCUGGUCUGAGAGGAUGAUCGGCCACACUGGAACUGAGACACGGUCCAGACUCCUACGGGAGGCAGCAGUGGGGAAUAUUGGACAAUGGGCGCAAGCCUGAUCCAGCCAUACCGCGUGGGUGAAGAAGGCCUUCGGGUUGUAAAGCCCUUUUGUUGGGAAAGAAAAGCAGCAGGUUAAUACCCCGCUGUUCUGACGGUACCCAAAGAAUAAGCACCGGCUAACUUCGUG